CUUGACCGACCCCAACCACAGCGGUUCGGCCGGCUCUGUACGGUUCUGCCCGUAGGUCGCCAGCAACGCCUGGGCCUC
RNAcentral lists this antisense RNA (78 nucleotides) under Mycobacterium parmense. RNAcentral describes it as "ASpks TB sRNA". It matches the Rfam family "ASpks TB sRNA". The record is from Rfam by way of RNAcentral. Lineage: Bacteria; Bacillati; Actinomycetota; Actinomycetes; Mycobacteriales; Mycobacteriaceae.